AACGAACGCUGGCGGCAGGCCUAAAACAUGCAAGUUGAGCGGCUACUUCGGUAGCAGCAGCGCACGGGUGAGUAACACAUGGGAACGGGCCCCUGGGUGCGGGACAACGUCUGGAAACGGACGCUAAUACCGCAUAAUGACUCCGGUCCAAAGAUUUAUCGCCAGGGGAUCGGCCCGCGUAUGAUUAGGUAGUUGGUGGGGUAAUGGCCUACCAAGCCGACGAUCAGUAGCUGGUAUGAGAGGAUGAUCAGCCACACUGGGACUGAGACACGGCCCAGACUCCUACGGGAGGCAGCAGUUAGGAAUAUUGGACAAUGGGCGAAAGCCUGAUCCAGCCAUGCCGCGUGUGUGAUGAAGGCCUUAGGGUUGUAAAGCACUUUCAGAUGUGAAGAUGAUGACGGUAGCAUCAGAAGAAGCUCCGGCUAAACUCGUGCCAGCCGCCGCGGUAA
Molecule: ribosomal RNA, 449 nt
Filed under: uncultured bacterium
Lineage: Bacteria
Description: partial 16S ribosomal RNA
Rfam family: Bacterial small subunit ribosomal RNA
Source: RNAcentral